GAUGAACGCUGGCGGCGUGCCUAAUACAUGCAAGUCGAGCGAACGGACGAGAAGCUUGCUUCUCUGAUGUUAGCGGCGGACGGGUGAGUAACACGUGGAUAACCUACCUAUAAGACUGGGAUAACUUCGGGAAACCGGAGCUAAUACCGGAUAAUAUUUUGAACCGCAUGGUUCAAAAGUGAAAGACGGUCUUGCUGUCACUUAUAGAUGGAUCCGCGCUGCAUUAGCUAGUUGGUAAGGUAACGGCUUACCAAGGCAACGAUGCAUAGCCGACCUGAGAGGGUGAUCGGCCACACUGGAACUGAGACACGGUCCAGACUCCUACGGGAGGCAGCAGUAGGGAAUCUUCCGCAAUGGGCGAAAGCCUGACGGAGCAACGCCGCGUGAGUGAUGAAGGUCUUCGGAUCGUAAAACUCUGUUAUUAGGGAAGAACAUAUGUGUAAGUAACUGUGCACAUCUUGACGGUACCUAAUCAGAAAGCCACGGCUAACUACGUGCCAGCAGCCGCGGGUAUACGUAAGUGGCAAGCGUUAUCCGGAAUUAUUGGGCGUAAAGCGCGCGUAGGCGGUUUUUUAGUCUGAUGUGAAAGCCCACGGCUCAACCGUGGAGGGUCAUUGGAAACUGGAAAACUUGAGUGCAGAAGAGGAAAGUGGAAUUCCAUGUGUAGCGGUGAAAUGCGCAGAGAUAUGGAGGAACACCAGUGGCGAAGGCGACUUUCUGGUCUGUAACUGACGCUGAUGUGCGAAAGCGUGGGGAUCAAACAGGAUUAGAUACCCUGGUAGUCCACGCCGUAAACGAUGAGUGCUAAGUGUUAGGGGGUUUCCGCCCCUUAGUGCUGCAGCUAACGCAUUAAGCACUCCGCCUGGGGAGUACGACCGCAAGGUUGAAACUCAAAGGAAUUGACGGGGACCCGCACAAGCGGUGGAGCAUGUGGUUUAAUUCGAAGCAACGCGAAGAACCUUACCAAAUCUUGACAUCCUUUGACAACUCUAGAGAUAGAGCCUUCCCCUUCGGGGGACAAAGUGACAGGUGGUGCAUGGUUGUCGUCAGCUCGUGUCGUGAGAUGUUGGGUUAAGUCCCGCAACGAGCGCAACCCUUAAGCUUAGUUGCCAUCAUUAAGUUGGGCACUCUAAGUUGACUGCCGGUGACAAACCGGAGGAAGGUGGGGAUGACGUCAAAUCAUCAUGCCCCUUAUGAUUUGGGCUACACACGUGCUACAAUGGACAAUACAAAGGGCAGCGAAACCGCGAGGUCAAGCAAAUCCCAUAAAGUUGUUCUCAGUUCGGAUUGUAGUCUGCAACUCGACUACAUGAAGCUGGAAUCGCUAGUAAUCGUAGAUCAGCAUGCUACGGUGAAUACGUUCCCGGGUCU
Molecule: ribosomal RNA, 1371 nt
Filed under: uncultured bacterium
Lineage: Bacteria
Description: bacterial SSU rRNA
Rfam family: Bacterial small subunit ribosomal RNA
Source: RNAcentral